UACGUAGGGUCCGAGCGUUGUCCGGAAUUACUGGGCGUAAAGAGCUCGUAGGUGGUUUGUCGCGUUGUUCGUGAAAACUCACAGCUCAACUGUGGGCGUGCGGGCGAUACGGGCAGACUAGAGUACUGCAGGGGAGACUGGAAUUCCUGGUGUAGCGGUGGAAUGCGCAGAUAUCAGGAGGAACACCGGUGGCGAAGGCGGGUCUCUGGGCAGUUACUGACGCUGAGGAGCGAAAGCAUGGGGAGCGAACAGG
RNAcentral lists this ribosomal RNA (253 nucleotides) under uncultured bacterium. Its description in RNAcentral is "partial 16S ribosomal RNA". It matches the Rfam family "Bacterial small subunit ribosomal RNA", at positions 524 to 776 of the family's 1533-position model. The record is from RNAcentral.